Molecule: ribosomal RNA, 292 nt
Filed under: uncultured Bacteroidota bacterium
Lineage: Bacteria; Pseudomonadati; Bacteroidota
Description: uncultured Bacteroidetes bacterium partial 16S ribosomal RNA
Source: RNAcentral
GGACUACCGGGGUAUCUAAUCCUGUUUGAUCCCCACGCUUUCGUGCCUCAGCGUCAAUAUCUGCUUAGUAAGCUGCCUUCGCAAUCGGUGUUCUAUGUCAUAUCUAUGCAUUUCACCGCUACAUGACAUAUUCCGCCUACCUCAACAGAAUUCAAGACCAAUAGUAUCAAUGGCAGUUUCCGGGUUGAGCCCGGAGAUUUCACCACUGACUUACUGACCCGCCUACACACCCUUUAAACCCAGUAAAUCCGGAUAACGCUUGCACCCUCCGUAUUACCGCGGCUGCUGGCAC